Molecule: ribosomal RNA, 489 nt
Filed under: uncultured bacterium
Lineage: Bacteria
Description: partial 16S ribosomal RNA
Rfam family: Bacterial small subunit ribosomal RNA
Source: RNAcentral
AGUGAACGCUGGCGGUAGGCCUAACACAUGCAAGUCGAACGGCAGCACAGUAAGAGCUUGCUCUUACGGGUGGCGAGUGGCGGACGGGUGAGGAAUACAUCGGAAUCUACUUUUUCGUGGGGGAUAACGUAGGGAAACUUACGCUAAUACCGCAUACGACCUACAGGUGAAAGCAGGGGAUCUUCGGACCUUGCGCGAUUGAAUGAGCCGAUGUCGGAUUAGCUAGUUGGCGGGGUAAAGGCCCACCAAGGCGACGAUCCGUAGCUGGUCUGAGAGGAUGAUCAGCCACACUGGAACUGAGACACGGUCCAGACUCCUACGGGAGGCAGCAGUGGGGAAUAUUGGACAAUGGGCGCAAGCCUGAUCCAGCCAUACCGCGUGGGUGAAGAAGGCCUUCGGGUUGUAAAGCCCUUUUGUUGGGAAAGAAAAGCAGCAGGUUAAUACCCCGCUGUUCUGACGGUACCCAAAGAAUAAGCACCGGCUAACUUC